Long non-coding RNA from Bombus terrestris (buff-tailed bumblebee), 7905 nucleotides. RefSeq lists it as uncharacterized. The transcript is spliced from 3 exons. NCBI's taxonomy places the organism in Eukaryota, Metazoa, Arthropoda, Insecta, Hymenoptera, Apidae. The record is from RefSeq and is a predicted model, not a curated record.
AUUCUGCAACAAAGAGGCAUUUGAAUUGGCUUGGUGAAUUUGUGGCUCCUCUUUUCUUUUUCCCGUUUUCUUCGAUGCAACAGCGGCUGGUAUAUGUACGACUUAGGCGAAUGAAAAAUGACUAGGCGGAAAUAUUUGAAAGCGAACAGAAAGUGGAGAUCGUGGAUAGGAGAGGAAAAGAGGGCGUUGCAGAGGAGAAAGGUUUACGAAUAAAUAUUCCAUACUGUUUAACUGUACUAUUUGACUGGAAGAAAAAUUCAUGAUCGUCGAUUGUAAAUUGCACGUUUAUAUUUCAUGUUCUUUCCAUAGUUUCUGAUCAACGAGAUCGAAACUUAAUUCAAGAGAUGCGAAGGCACUUUGAGCAAAGUACCGAAGAAACGGAUCAACUAUUUUAUAAACUAUGUAUAAAACGUGAUACGAACAAUGGGAUAAAAGUGAAAUCGCGGAAUGAAUGGAGGACUCUUUCCGGCUGGGGUACGCUAAUCGCCAGUCUCUGAAUCAUCACCGUGCUCGAAGAAGGAGCAAACGUUCCUUGGUCGCCGCUUAAAAAUCGCCGAGACGACGAUGAGACGGUGCGUAAAAGAAGAAAGCGACGGGGCGAGAGAGAGAGAGAGAGAAAGGAAAGCGGCAGAAGGCGAUCUGAAAGAAGGAAAAAGAAAGCGAGCACCAUUCUCGCAAGGCCGUUGCCUCGUUUAACAGUGACGUGGAUUCACCUUCUUCCGCUAAGAUAAAAAGAAACCGAGGGAAAAGUCAGCUAGGUCCGUGUAUGACUGUUAACCGCAACGACGUCCUUUUCUUUUUCAGCGUAAAAAUAAAUACUCGACCGUGCCCGCGCCGAAAAUAACCUGCACUCUUUCUGUCGGAUUAUGCGACUUAUCGCCGCUUCUAAGAAACCGCUUCCAUCCCCUCCAUCGAGCGUAUCACGCGCCCGGUAACCGAGCGAUUCGUGCGCGUUACACCUCAACACGAAGAAGUUUCUCGAGACCGGAAUACAGCAAUCGCUUUAUGGGAAGCGUGGCGCCGCCUCGCGUGCUACGCAUCACGUGACGGCCAGUGGAUAAGCAGCCAUCCCUGCACAUCGAAUCGAUGGUUUUCGAUAUUUUGUUGAUAUUUUAUAUCAAGGUGAAUCGCAAAUGCAACUCGCUAUUACGAGUCAAGAACCAUAACAAAAUAGAUCAUAAUUGAGUUGUCAUAAGAAGAUGAAGGUUAGCGGAUCAUUUAUUAAAUAAUAACGGGAAGAAUUCCAACUAUCCGAUACAGUCUACUCUAACGAUCAACAGACGAGAAUGCGUCUAAAGCCAAAAAUAAAACGUAAUAGAUUAUACGCUGAUCAACUGAAGUCCGUGGAAUUCUUCAGCAGCGUACCAACGAACCUAUUAGCCGAGCAACGGUACAAAUCACGGUUGAAUCCAUCCAGAAGUUCGAUACGAUGCAAGCGUCGCGACGCUACACGUUUCAACGAACGGGGAAACGAAAGGAGAUCGGGUCUCUUUGGAUUCGUCCAGUCGUUCCGUUUGCUUCAAAUGUGCGCACAUUCGACAGAGAAAGAGAGGAAGAAAGAUACACAGUAAGGCUCGUUGCGCGAGGUCGUUGCACCGUGUGUACUAAGUCGUUCUAAGCGCAUGGUCGGUCCUAAGCAACCAGGAGAGUCCGAGAGAAGAGAGCCUCAAUACGCCACCGCAUCGCAAAUAUGCGAGUCCAGUGCUACCUCGCCCUUUAUGCGGCCGUGUUCGUAUGUCAUCGAUACUGUUCGGUUCAUCGUUCAAUUCAUCCCAGGUAUAACUCCUUUCUCUUCGUUUUAUGUGUAUGCGCCGGCCUUUAUCGUCGAUUGCAACAAACAGGCCUUUGUAUACCAAAGGAUUUUUACAAUACAGAGAACUAUGAAGGCACAACUAUGAAGAACUAUGGUUUACGAGGUUAAAGAAAAAAUAUAGAUCAGAAUCGUUACAUUCGCGAACGUAUUAAUGGCCUGAAUACAGGAUAUGGCGAGAAACACACAGUGUUGCCAACAAAAUCAACGAAUUCCGUCCAUUUCAUCCGGCUCGAUUUCCUUCCUUCGUUUAACACGAGACACGCCAGUAAACCGAAUAAAUCACUCGAGUAUCGAGGACAAAGCCAGAGAACGAAUUAAUCCCGCCACUGCGCUAUGAGGGACAUCGAAAUCAGAGGAAAGCUUCAGGGAGAACCGUUGCCGUGUUGGCGCACCGCGCGUGCACGGUCGACGCUCUUUAUCGUUUCGAUCUGACAUUCUCCUAAUGGACCUCUUCUCUUUCUCGGCUCGCGCCCUCUUAACGCCCGUUUCUCUAGAAUUCGUAACGCGAUACGUAGCGCGAAACGCGCCGAUAAGUCGUUUCACAGGGAACAUAAAAAUUACCCAUUUAAUAAUAUUGUCAGAUUUUUACAAUAGACUUUACUCUUUCUAUACUAAUUGUCUUUAUAUAUAUACAAAUUUUUAUAGAAAUUUCUCUUUUCUUUAUUAUUUGAAGUUGCAACGCUAUAGAAAUACUCCAUUGCCGUUACCACAUAAGUCUAAGCUCAUGGGAAGGAAUGUAACAACGAUAGGGUGGGAGCAUAGGCGUCAAAUCUCGCUAAACGUUUAAUCUAUUAUUGGAAGGAUGAGAAUAGGACGUCGUAGCGGAGUGGACGACGCGAUGGACGACGGAGUAUAGAGUCGGCCGAUGCUAAUUUGGCCCAUAUACUAACGUUUCAUAGACCGUUAACUCCGUUGCUGUAACUUAUGAACUGUGAAAUUUUGUGCGCUUUAUCUCGAGCCAGUGAGCCGACCGUGCUUGGCGCAGCAGCAGCUUCCUUGGCCAUUUCGCGGAACACUAAACGCGCCCUCUCGGUGAACCAAUCAGAAAUUCAAUGGCCUGCCCCAUGGUGGCGUUCCGCUGUUUUUCCUUGUACAUGCAUAAUAGCGCUUUUGUGACCGUCCCGCGGUCUUAACACGUAACAAAAUUAAGGAUGCUAGCGAAGAACAGCCGCGUAGAGGGCGUUCACGCGAAUUACCGAGACAUUUGCAUAAAUGGAUUAGCAUAAAUUAAACCGAAUGGAAAAGCGUCGAGGCUGCGUCCGUAAAUUGGCCGCGAUUUGCAUAAACGGAGAAGGCCUUCUCGCGUAACGCGUUCCUCUCUUCCCCUUUCGGUUCGCAGAAAAAUCGUACGGACACGACACGACGAAAGUCGACGAGUGCAGUCGUAAAAAAGGAGCAGCCACUCAAACGGCGUAUAACACUACUACGACGACAACCAGGGCCAUCCUGAGAGCCGACGACGUAAUACGGCGUUUGGGUUGAGACACGUAAUGAAAACAGGCGUCCUCAAACGGUUGAGUGUCGGCCGUUUCGAGCAGCGCAAAAACAGGAGGAGACGCUCUUGCUGGCGACACCAGUUACGACGUCGUGUUUAAGACGGGUUCGUGUAAAUUCACUUCCACUCCGGUAGAGGGGCACCAAACGGUUGCUAUCGUUCGGUAAUACUAAUAUUGACUUAAGGUGAAGAUACACACAAAACAUUUGUUGCAUUAUGAUCCGUGUAUGUAUAUAGCUGUUUAGUUUGAGAAAUCUAGGGGAAAAAGAGGAAUUAGUAAUGUGUACAAGGUCGUUAUUAAUUAUUGACUUUUGAUAUUAGAUCUAAUUAUGUAAAAAGAUCUUUAAGAUAUGCUUAAUAUUUUUUCAGUCAUCAUCUCCUACAAUGUAAUAAUGUUUGAAGAAACUGAAGCAUUUAUAGGAUAAUUAUAGUAGUUUUCACCAAAUUAUAGAAUCUUUAUCUUAUAUUUUUGAUUUAUGUAAUGAUCUUCUAUAUGUGUGGUAUCUAUUAUACGAACAUAUUCUUUGUGCCUUGCAUCUUCCAAUAAUAUGCUACGUUUAUGUAACUAUUAUUAAUUAUUGCGUGGUCCCUUAUAGGUUACUGCAAGGUCAAUAUUAAUUACCGUUUUUAGAUCAAAGAUGGCGUUAUUACACAUUCGAAUGAACCAAGGCAAGUAAUUUUAGUCACAGGAUAAUUUGGUGUAUUUAAAGUUCGAGCAUCAUACGUUGACGAUUCAUUCCUUCUAGCUUUAACUUUCAGCGAAUCUCAUCAAGAAUUCUAGGAAGACUGUUUCUGCCACUAUUCUGAGCCACGUAGUCAGUCUAGGAUAACGAUGAACGCGUGGCGCUUCUAACUGAGGAGUUCGAUGAACCGCGAUGAAUCCUCAACCGGGAUUCAUUUGGGAAAAAUACGACAGGAUAGACUACUGUUAAUCCUAAAAUAUCUAAGGCGUCGACCGUUGACUCGGCCUGUCCAAUGUCGGAAGAUUGGACACGUUACCCCGACUUUUGCUUCUACAAAACCGUUCUUGCCCGCAAAACGUCGUUAAAGCCAGACCGAUGACUAUCUUACGUACGACGAAAGAAGCUUGCUCCAAAUUCUCCACGGUAAAACAUUUACCCUGACUUUAUUCCUCCUGCUAUUCAAUAAACUGAACGAGAAUAUGGACGCCAAGAAAGUUAUAAGAAAACUUGCCAACAAAUCCACACGUGCUUCUUUCCUUUUCCAACUUUUUGCCUGCGCGCGAAAUUCGAAUCGCGAUCAGGGACACGUUUCAGUUUCGGGGACGAUAAACCGUCGACACGCGAGGUGUAACACGCCUCGACCGCGAUAUUAAUUUCGUCUGAGACUAGGUUACAUAAAUUCACGAUAUAAACUCUGCCGUUCGAGAAACGAAUCCACAAACAUAACUCGUAAAUGUGCGCCCUCAUUGGCGUUCUUGUAAAGUUUGUCAUCUAUUUACAUAUUGUUAACAAACACGUUCGCGAGCUUUUUUGCGAGCUUACUAUCCGCGAGAAAAUUGUAGAGUGAUCAUAAAAUGUUUGAAAAUAAUAACCGUCCUGGUAUUCUUCGUACUAAUUUUUUUAUUCUUACUGAUUGUAUUAUAUUCAAUGAAACAAAUCGUUUCUCAGUUGGUAAAUUAACAUAAUUUUAUAAAAAAAUUAUUACAAACACCCCAUACAAUUUUUAAUUUUCUUCUUCAUACUAAAUUCAUAUACUGUUGGAAUUUUAAGUUUAUUAAAUGAAUAUUAUGUUGUAGCAACAAAAUCUACGAUUGUAAUAAUACCAUAAUUCCAUGGUACAACAAUAAGGUGACUAGAAUAAGACGCUACAAAGUCACGCGCAUUCUCAGUAUCGGCCCAAAUUCGUGCUAGCAUCUUAACACAGUUGCACAGUUCUUCACGCGGAACAGGAUAUUUAAACCUGCAUUCGGCCCACUAUCUUUAUAUCCAUCAAACCGCCCUCUAGGCAGUUUUGUAACAACGCUAUGAGUACGUCCUCGCUCGCUAAAAUAAAUAACGUUCUCCACUGGCGACGGAUAAAAAAGGAGUAGAAAAAGAAACGACGCGAUAGCCGGGUGAGUGAACGACAAACACAUGCCACUUUCUUUUCUUGCUUUUUCCACUUUUCUCCAUCUCGUUUCUUUUCCAUGAAUCUCGCGGCGUUACACUUACUUCCUGUCCCCCCUAUUUCGCGAUCCGCCACUUGUUCUCUUCUCCUCCCUCUUGCAACAUUCGUUCAAACUCUGAUUCUUUCUCGCUCUGUUACAUAGGCGCUCUUACUCAUCUCCAUCUCGAGUUUCACAUCACCUUUAGCAUCGUAUACGGUCUCACGUCACGUGACAUUGCGAUGCACCGAGCAGCAUCGAGGUUAUUUUAUCUGAACGCGAACGUGCUUGUCUUGGUCGUGUGAUUUCUAAUGUUUCAUUGCCGCACUAAACAAUGCCAUUGUUUCAGAAUGAAAACAAAGCCCAUAAAAUUUCCAGAAAGGCAAAUCGAAUAAAGUUAACCGCACAAGCAUUUAGGUGUUGUUAGAAUCGACCUUAAGGCAGAUUCUCAGUUUUACUGUCGUUUUUAAUGCCCAGCGUUAUGCCCAGCUACGAGAUGAUUUUUUGCCUGAAUUUUAAUUAACGAAGAAAGGUUAAUUCAUGGUAAUAGGUUUUUAACACGAUGACAACCGAUAUUAAGCAGCGUUUAGAAGUGGUUCAUGGUGCCAAAUCAGUAGACCACUACGCGACCGUCUUUAAAAUGAAAAUUUAUGCACAACGAGGAACAUGCGGGUAGUCUGGGAUACCUGCUAAAGAUAGAUUUAGCUUUUUUGCUCUUCUUUGCUUCGCGACAGAUGUUCGUAGAAGAUCUAUAAGGUCAGUUCGCACAUAACGUGUGACGUCCGAGUUCGAAAAUCAGGCGAUCGCUUUAGUACACAAAUCUGACGAACUCUAAAUCCCCAAACAUAGUCUAUACGAUAAUUGAAUUAUCACCAAGUUAGGUGUGAUCUCAUUAACUCAGAAAUGUGAAAUUGGAUUUGAAGUCGCGAGCCGAGUAAAAAAUCACAAAUGUAUUGACGAACAGAUGAUUUAACAGAUGUUGUGAAAAAUAAAGAAGCGACUGAGAUAUCAAUCUAUAUAUAGCUUAUCAUACAAUAAAAUUGCAACCUAACCUAACAUAAAUCGCCAUCAUGCGACGAGAAACUAAAUGAACCGGUAACCACGGGUGCAAAGGGAAAAGCUAGGAAAAAUGAAACAGAACGAUUGGAUAACGAUCGGAUUGAGAUUUUUCGUGGGCGAAGUCAAACGAAAAUAAAACGAUGUCUCGUCCUCGCGAUUCCCGACGAGAUCGUAACGACCACGCGAAGAAGAAAGAAAAAAAAUAAGCAGCGGAAAAAACACGAUAGAGGAAAGGAAGACGAGGGAGCAGACGAGGGAGGAAGUGUGGCGAAGCCAGGUGCCGUCGACAUUGUUCUUACGCAACGCUGGCUGGCCGUGAAGCAUCGUCUGGCCGAAUAUGAGGGCGCUAUCUACAUCUUCCGGUCCGGCCCGAUCCUUGAGGGCCACUUUCUCAUAGGUUGGUCUCCUGACACUGCAAGUGGGCAGACACGUAGGCGACACACUCUCCUCGCGACUUCUCUUCGUCGACAUCGACACAUCGCGGUCGUCUCUCCUGCCGUGUCUCGCCACUACGUUAUAAAACGGCGACGCUGUUGUACGGCCGUACCUGCUCUCCUGGCUACAGGUUUCACGUAGGUGUACGCCUACGUGCGCCUCGACCGAAUAUGUAUCUCACCGAGUCCUCGAUCAACAUUAAUAUGCAGAGGAGUUAAAGUCGAGUACUCCUCGGCCUCAAUCGAGCUGCACGCAAACGCAUCUACGAUCUGGUUGGCUGCAGGGAAAUGAAGGAGUCAAGGAUUUGCAUGUUUUAUUGCAUGAAUUAUGGAUAAUUAGUCGUCCUAAUUUCGUUUUAAAGAAACCAAGGGGAGAAUUACCGAAGAUCAUUCUUACGACCGGGAUAUCUAUAUCGUUAAAAUUAAAGGAGGAAUCAUAAUAUCUGGUUCACCGUUUCGAUCUGUAUGAAAGAGGCGUAAAUCUCUGGGCGAGUACGCAUGUAGGCGAAACGCCCUCGCAACUUCACUUUUCCGGGGCGAGCGCCACCGGCAGCGUAGUACGAGGAUCACGAUGACGCUUCCCACACGUACUUUAGCUGUUUGCACGUAGCUACAAGUAUUUCAAAAAUACUCAGUCUGGGAACAAAACACAACAUACACCUACGUCGGUUCUAAACAGCGAUUUCAGCAAUUUUCUUCGGUCGUCAAAAAAUAUAAUGAAAUAUAAAUGGCCGGACGUGACUCGAAUUAAAAGGAAUUACGCAAUUCAGGCUUGAAUACCCACAUGGCUAAAAUUAGAUGUCACUAUAGAAUUUGCAGGAUUGGUGAAAAAAACAGAGACCGCGCCUUUAUCGGCAAUCGAGCCCAGACUUUCAUGUUUCUAUGUAUUCAAUGGUAUUUCCAAUCACACCAUUACUGCAACAGAAUUUUAUAUGACUUUUGUCGCCACAUAAACUUGCUUAAUAGAAUUUAGAUAUGUCAUAGAACGAAACUAACG